RNAcentral lists this ribosomal RNA (496 nucleotides) under uncultured bacterium. RNAcentral's name for it is "partial 16S ribosomal RNA". It matches the Rfam family "Bacterial small subunit ribosomal RNA", at positions 28 to 506 of the family's 1533-position model. The record is from RNAcentral.
GAUGAACGCUGGCGGCGUGCCUAAUACAUGCAAGUCGAGCGAACAGAUGAGGAGCUUGCUCCUCUGACGUUAGCGGCGGACGGGUGAGUAACACGUGGAUAACCUACCUAUAAGACUGGGAUAACUUCGGGAAACCGGAGCUAAUACCGGAUAAUAUAUUGAACCGCAUGGUUCAAUAGUGAAAGACGGUUUUGCUGUCACUUAUAGAUGGAUCCGCGCCGCAUUAGCUAGUUGGUAAGGUAACGGCUUACCAAGGCAACGAUGCGUAGCCGACCUGAGAGGGUGAUCGGCCACACUGGAACUGAGACACGGUCCAGACUCCCACGGGAGGCAGCAGUAGGGAAUCUUCCGCAAUGGGCGAAAGCCUGACGGAGCAACGCCGCGUGAGUGAUGAAGGUCUUCGGAUCGUAAAACUCUGUUAUUAGGGAAGAACAAAUGUGUAAGUAACUAUGCACGUCUUGACGGUACCUAAUCAGAAAACCACGGCUAACUACGU